Molecule: long non-coding RNA, 1026 nt
Filed under: Salmo salar (Atlantic salmon)
Lineage: Eukaryota; Metazoa; Chordata; Actinopteri; Salmoniformes; Salmonidae
Description: lncRNA (ENSSSAG00000098864.1)
Source: RNAcentral
UAAGAACACAGGACCAACUAACAGAGAGCUAUAAGAACACAGGACCAGCUAACAGAGAGCUAUAAGAACACAGGACCAGCUAACAGAGCGGUAUAAGAACACAGGACCAGCUAACAGAGAACUAUAAGAACACAGGACCAGCUAACAGAGAGCUAUAAGAACACAGGACCAGCUAACAGAGAACAAUAAGAACACAGGACCAGCUAACAGAGAACUAUAAGAACACAGGACCAACUAACAGAGAACUAUAAGAACACAGGACCAGCUAACAGAGAACUAUAAGAACACAGGACCAGCUAACAGAGCGCUAUAAGAACACAGGACCAACUAACAGAGAACUAGAAGAACACAGGACCAGCUAACAGAGCGGUAUAAGAACACAGGACCAACUAACAGAGAGCUAUAAGAACACAGGACCAGCUGACAGAGCGGUAUAAGAACACAGGACCAGCUAACAGAGAACUAUAAGAACACAGGACUAACUAACAGAGAGCUAUAAGAACACAGGACCAGUAACAGAGAGCUAUAAGAACACAGGACCAGCUAACAGAGCGGUAUAAGAACACAGGACCAACUAACAGAGAACUAUAAGAACACAGGAGCAACUAACAGAGAGCUAUAAGAACACAGGACCAGCUAACAGAGAGCUAUAAGAACACGGGACCAGCUAACAGAGCGGUAUAAGAACACAGGACCAGCUAACAGAGAACUAUAAGAACACAGGACCAGCUAAGAGAGAGCUAUAAGAACACAGGACCAGCUAACAGAGAACUAUAAGAACACAGGACCAGCUAACAGAGAACUAUAAGAACACAGGACCAACUAACAGAGAGCUAUAAGAACACAGGACCAACUAACAGAGAACUAGAAGAACACAGGACCAGCAAACAGAGCGGUAUAAGAACACAGGACCAGCUAACAGAGAGCUAUAAGAACACAGGACCAGCUAACAGAGAGCUAUAAGAACACAGGACCAGCUAACAGAGAACUAUAAGAACACAGGACCAGCUAACAGAGAACUAUAAG